AAAAUAUACUAACAGGAGACCCGACAAGAAUGCUGAUCCAAUGUCUCCAAACACAGUGGUGAAAUAUUUAAGAUAAGUGCCAAGUUAGCAGCCAACACUGAUCUAAUGUCAUAAGUGAACACACCACAAACACAAAGUAAAAAAAAUGUACACAUUAUUUACAAUGACUGUACUUACAACACACCCUCUACACAAGAUUGUGCUGCUGGUCCCAAGUCCCUUUCAGCUGUAAAUCACUUACCAUCCUCUACUUGUAGGCUGGGUGUGUAUUCACACCUCUAGAUGGCCGGGCGGGGGUUUGUUGUGGAGCCAGAGAGAGCAGCAGUCACUCUAAGUGAGGGAUGGAGGACUUGAAGUCAGUAUUUACCACCCAAAAAAAUUGAUAAGUACUCAAGUCUAUUACUUAUUAUAUUGAACCUUUUAUUUUAGCAAUACAUCAACUAAACAACAUCUAUAAACAUAUUAUAUUGAGUGGAGAACACUGUGGUUUAGGUUGUGUACCAAUUAUUUUUGUAUUUUUUAUUAACCUUUAUUUAACUAGGCAAUUCAGUACAAAUUCUUAUUUACAAUGAUGCCAAACCCGGACAACGCUGGGCCAAUUGUGCGCCUCUCUAUGGGACUCCCAAUCACGGCCAGAUGUGAUGCAGCCUGGAUUCGAAUCAGACCCAGACAGCCCAGGAAAGUUGAGGGAGGGAGAGAGACUGUCUGGUUGCACACUGUUCCUGAAUGAAGAUGGGUGCUCUCCAGUGAAUUUAGACUUCCUUGUCAUAGAACAGACCUCAUAGAAUGGACCUCACAAAUUCACAACCAGACCUCACCAGUCAGGCCCCGCAAACCAGACUGAACAAAACUAUUACUGGACAUUACAAUCUAGACCUCAUUAUCUGGAUUUCACAAUCCUUACUUCUUCAUCUGGAUUUUGCAAUCCAGAUUUCACAGCUUGGUCUUUGUAAACCAAACCUCACAAUCCAUAACCUGGACCUCACAACCUGGACCUGCAGUGUUGAUGCUGUAACCCAGCCUCAACGCACCACUUCCUCAGGCAACAAAGCGGCAAACCUGCCCAGUCUCACCUGAGGACUGCCCAGUCUCAAACCUGCCCAGUCCUCCACGUCAUAUUUCAUUUUUUUUCACUUAUUGGCUUUUUGUUGCUUUUGUUUCUUGUUACGGUCAUUUACAUUUAUUUACAUUUUGGCCAGUUUGGCUUCCAGGCCAGUGUCCCCACCACACAACUCUGAUGCUUCCACAGCAUCAUACCAUGCCUCCAAAUGGCUACAGUAGUCACUAGUGUUACUUGAACUUUGUCUUCUGUUACAUGCUACUGGGUCCUUCCAUGUCCCUGUCCGCAACAAAUUGUGCUUCAUUCUAGUAGUUUGUAAAUAGGUUCUCUAGAGGAUCCUCUUAAAUAAUGUGGUACAUGAUAUAUAGACACACAAUGCCAAUAGUGUUGUGUCAUCUAUACAUCCAGUCAGGCAGGAAUAGUCCCAUAUCUGAGCUGUUGGUACUAAUACUGACACGGUAUAACUGUCUAGCUGUAACCCGUAAUGGCUUUCACAGAUCUAAUGGCAGAGCAACUCUAUGUUGCUGUGGAUUUCUAACAUUUCUAUUUUGUAACAACGGAAAGUUGUCACUGGUACAGCAUUGUUACCAAGUAUGUGGUUGGAGCAUAUCAUAUCAACUCUUAGGGCUACAUUGUAACAGUCUCUUCCGUAGAGGCACCUCUGUAAAGGCUUGGAAGCCAGUAAAGUUGCUUGCGACAUUUUCAUUUUAUUUUUGCAGAAAAACAUGGACUGUAAUAGGUUCACACAAAAAAAGGGCAUAUUUUCUGUCAUACUUGCUGCUGAUGACUUUGACAAACAAUCUCUGUAAAUUAUUGAAUAUAUAACGUCAAUUGUUUGUUUUAAAAGUCAAGAUUAUUUAACAUGGUUUAUAUUGGUACUUUUUUGCUUUUUGAACUGAAACAUGUCCAAUAUUUUUGUAUUCCUUAUUAAUGGGAAAUCUGCUUCUUACAUAUAAUCCUAUAUAUUCCUGUCCACCUCAUGGGUUUUUGCUCUUUUGUUGAACAUUUUGAAUGUUGUUAAGUGGAUUCUAGGUACUACCCAUGUUAAACAAGAACCCCACUCCUCCAAACACGCACCAGCACCAUCCCAAUGGGCCUGUUCCUGAGAGCGUUAUACUCCUGUUUCUCUGUAACACUAUAGGCUACAGCUGUGUUGCUCUGUAAUUCUGUAGGCUGCAAUUGUGUAUUUUUCUAACUGGAUUGGCUGCAGUUGGGUCUAUCUGUAAUCUAAUAGGUUGUGUUCCCUGCGGCCACCAAACUUCACCUGAAUGCUACUUACGUGCAUGGGCAUAUUCAGUACUGUGUAGUUCCGAAACACAAUGUAGAAAACAAAUUGUGCUCUAUUCCUCAUAAUGGGGAACAGCAAGACGAGAUGAAGCUCAAACCUCUCCACCAACCCUGUCUUCCACUGUAAAUAAUGUGUUGUAAGACAACAGAUGAUAGAAAUAAUAAAUGGAUGGGUUGGAACGACUGAAUAGGACGUCAAUGUGAACAACAUUUAUGAGUGAAUGUUAUAUAAGAACUAUCAACUGAACAAUUGAAGAAUUAAUUAAUUAAUAAACGGAUGAAUGGAUGUACAAAUUAGCGGAUGAGUAAAUAAACGCAUUAAAGAAUGACAGGGAUAGCAAGAGCAUCAAUAUACUGUAGCAUGGGGCUUUGCAUUCUCAUUUACCCCCGUGCCCAUUGUUAGGUUCUGACUGAGUGAAAACAACGGAAAACUACUCGAAGCUCAAACCAAGUUUAUUCACCCACUGGGUCAAACAGCUGAAAAGACAAAAACAUGUUUCUACCAGCACAAGUAUUUAUACCCUCCUAUUAGGCGGAGUCUCCUCUUUGCAGAUCUAGACAGCCAAUACAUCUCUGUUGCUAGGCAGGAACUUAGGUGGUGUGUGUUAAAAAAAAAAAUCCUUGGCAGUUCUAUUACCUCAGCCCACAUUCCUCACUCCUCCCUAAUGCAAGGCUAUCCAACCUUAUCAAUGACUGAAACUAGACUGUUACCCUUUGGCCCUCUCCAUAGAAUCAAUGAGAUUUAACAAUAGCAUAAAACAUGUAAAGUAGUUCUAGUAGUGUAUGAUGACAUGGUCUAAGAUGUUUCUACAACUUGAUUGGAGUCCGCUUGUGGUAAAUUCAAUUGAUUGGACAUGAUUUGGAAAGGCACACACCUGUCUAUAUAAGGUUCCACAGUUGACAGUGCAUGUCAGAGGAAAAAACCAAGCCAUGAGGUUGGAGGAAUUGUCCGUUGAGCUCUGAGACAGGAUUGUGUCGAGGCAAAGAUAUGGGGAAGGGUACCAAAUAUUUAUAAACUUGUAUUGUUAGAUUUAACAAUAACGUUAUACAUGUAAAGUAGUAGUAGUAUAGUAGGGUAAGAAACUCUCUGGAACCUCCGUAAUAAAGUAGAUAU
RNAcentral lists this long non-coding RNA (3461 nucleotides) under Salmo salar (Atlantic salmon). RNAcentral's name for it is "lncRNA (ENSSSAG00000114552.1)". Lineage: Eukaryota; Metazoa; Chordata; Actinopteri; Salmoniformes; Salmonidae. The record is from RNAcentral.